Long non-coding RNA from Mercurialis annua (annual mercury), 1641 nucleotides. RefSeq lists it as uncharacterized. The transcript is spliced from 9 exons. The record is from RefSeq and is a predicted model, not a curated record. NCBI's taxonomy places the organism in Eukaryota, Viridiplantae, Streptophyta, Magnoliopsida, Malpighiales, Euphorbiaceae.
UACACCAAAAACAUGUUUUAGCGGCAAAGAGAUAGUGAUGGUCUUAAAUAAUGCCCCUAAUUAAUAACACUAAUAGAGUUAGCAACGUAAUUAGAGAUGGUUUUAUAUUCCGUAGGUAGAUAACAACGGUUCAAACCGUCUCUAUAUAUAUUAAGGGUUAAAAUAGGAAUUUAAAAUUUCUUUCAGCUAUACUGAUUCUCACUUUCACUUUAAUCAUUUUUCUCAUUCUUGCUUUUACUUCAGUCCCUUUCACUUUAAUCGCUUUUCAUUCUAACACAAAUUGAUUUAUUCAUGAUUCAUACAAUGUAAAUGUUUUAAUCGAUUCAGUGAUUAAAUACAGAGAUCGAUUUUUCAACUUGCACAAGGAUUAGAAAUUAGGUUUUUAUCGAUUCAGCGAUUGAUUAGGUUUUUUUCAUUGAUUGAAUACAGAGAUCAAUAAAUAUCAGCGAUUGAUUAGUUUUUUUCAUCGAUUGAAUUUAGAGAUCAAUAAAUAUCAGCGAUCGUUUUUUCAUCGAUUCGAGGUGAAAAACUGAAUUCUGAUUUAAACUGCUAACUUGUGGUUCAUCAUGAUUUAAGACUGCUAACUUGUGCUUCUGAUCAAGAUUACCAUCAGUUGUAAAAGAAGUGAUGCUGCUUCAUUUAGGCUGUUAAACAUUUUAGAUCUUGUUUCAAUGAGUUGGUUGGUGGACAAAAGUUGGAUGGUCCAACCGAGAAAUAGUGAUAUAUAUAGAAGUGGGGUGAAGCUCUUCCUCGAUUUCGCUUUCCAUCAUGCAUCAGAAGAUGGAAGAAUUAUGUGCCCUUGUAGGAGUUGUGUCAAUCACUGUUUGCAAACCUACAAUGAAGUUGAAGUACAUUUAGUCUGUGAUGGUUUCGAUGUAGAGGCAAAAACAGAUUGGUCAGGUUUCGAUGGUUAUUGCAGGACGGAAGGUCUAAAGUAUCCGCUUAUGGUAAAACGAUUGGUCACAGUUGCGAGUCAUGCAGAAUACAAAGAUAGUUGAACCAUUCACAGGUCAUUAUGUAUUUGCUUGGGUGUUGCAAGGUUCUUGAGCUAUGCCCACUGGGUUCUCCAGAUUUGUUCUUGUAUAUGAGCUAUCUGUGGGUUUUGCACAUGGAAUUAGAAAUCUCAAACUAAAAACAGAGAAGAUUUUAGGAGUGGAAAGAAAACGGAAUUUAACAAUGCAAAGACGUAAAGAUGAAUGUACAAAGAUUGUUAGGGUAACAACUGACACUUCAGGCUUUGGAUGAUAUGUUUUAUGAUGAAUUUGGGAUCUCAGUUGAGGUUAAAGAGCUACUAUUAGUUAAGAUACGUAAUACUUGUCAGCUAUUAGUUAAGAUACGUAAUACUUGUCAGCGCACUGUGCACCAUGACUACCCUGUUUCUUUUGAGGAUUUGCUUUGUUGUCAAAGAUAAAUAAGGUGUGAGAUCAACUUGAAGACUCAUACAAGGCCAGGGACCAAAAGCUGAUAGAUUUGAAGUAGAAAUAGAUUACCUUUUUCUUUUUUGAUGAAUCAGAAAUAGAUUAAACAUAUAACUAUGAGUGUUUUUAGUUUUAGUUAGUUUAGAUGAAUAUGUUAAUUUGAGGUACAAAGUAGACAUUAUAAUUUCAAUUUUAUGAAUUUUUAUCGAUUAUUAACAUUUCA